Molecule: ribosomal RNA, 253 nt
Filed under: uncultured bacterium
Lineage: Bacteria
Description: partial 16S ribosomal RNA
Rfam family: Bacterial small subunit ribosomal RNA
Source: RNAcentral
UACAGAGGGUGCGAGCGUUAAUCGGAGUUACUGGGCGUAAAGGGCGCGUAGGCGGUUUGUUAAGUCAGUUGUGAAAGCCCAGGGCUCAACCUUGGAACUGCAAUUGAUACUGGCCGGCUAGAGUCGAAGAGAGGGAAGCGGAAUUUCCGGUGUAGCGGUGAAAUGCGUAGAUAUCGGAAGGAACACCCGUGGCGAAGGCGGCUUCCUGGCUUCAGACUGACGCUGAGGCGCGAAAGCGUGGGGAGCGAACAGG